This is a small nucleolar RNA of Gossypium arboreum, 107 nucleotides long. It matches the Rfam family "Plant small nucleolar RNA R71". From Rfam's summary of the family: R71 is a member of the C/D box family of snoRNAs containing the C (UGAUGA) and D (CUGA) box motifs. Multiple nearly identical copies of this snoRNA have been identified in Arabidopsis, and it is thought to function as a 2'-O-ribose methylation guide for 18S ribosomal RNA. The record is from Rfam. Lineage: Eukaryota; Viridiplantae; Streptophyta; Magnoliopsida; Malvales; Malvaceae.
AACCCAUAGUGAGGGCACCUUCUUAUUAAGUCUUUAUACUUCUCCAAUGCAUCAUAUAAAGUUUCUAAAUCCAUCUGCAAAAAAGAAGAGAUAUCAUUCCUCAAUUU